UGGAGCAUGUGGUCUAAUUCGAAGCAACGCGCAGAACCUUACCAGCCCUUGACAUGGUCACGACCGGCGCAGAGAUGCGCUUUUCCCGCAAGGGACGUGAUGCACAGGUGCUGCAUGGCUGUCGUCAGCUCGUGUCGUGAGAUGUUGGGUUAAGUCCCGCAACGAGCGCAACCCUCGCCUUUAGUUGCCAGCACGUUUGGGUGGGCACUCUAAAGGAACUGCCGGUGACAAGCCGGAGGAAGGUGGGGAUGACGUCAAGUCCUCAUGGCCCUUAUGGGCUGGGCUACACACGUGCUACAAUGGCGGUGACAAUGGGAAGCCAGGCAGCGAUGUCGAGCCGAUCCCAAAAAGCCGUCUCAGUUCAGAUCGCAGCCUGCAACUCGGCUGCGUGAAGGUGGAAUCGCUAGUAAUCGCGGAUCAGCACGCCGCGGUGAAUACGUUCCCGGGCCUUGUACACACCGCCCGUCACACCAUGGGAGUUGGUUUUACCUUAAGCAGGUGCGCUAACCCGCAAGGGAGGUAGCUUGCCACGGUAGGAUCAGUGACUGGGGUGAAGUCGUAACAAGGUAGCCGUAGGGGAACCUGCGGCUGGAUCACCUCCUU
Molecule: ribosomal RNA, 603 nt
Filed under: uncultured bacterium
Lineage: Bacteria
Description: bacterial SSU rRNA
Rfam family: Bacterial small subunit ribosomal RNA
Source: RNAcentral